UACGAAGGGGGCUAGCGUUGCUCGGAAUCACUGGGCGUAAAGGGUGCGUAGGCGGGUCUUUAAGUCAGGGGUGAAAUCCUGGAGCUCAACUCCAGAACUGCCUUUGAUACUGAGGAUCUUGAGUUCGGGAGAGGUGAGUGGAACUGCGAGUGUAGAGGUGAAAUUCGUAGAUAUUCGCAAGAACACCCGUGGCGAAGGCGGCUCUCUGGAACGCAACUGACGCUGAGACGCGAAAGCGUGGGGAGCAAACAGG
Molecule: ribosomal RNA, 253 nt
Filed under: uncultured bacterium
Lineage: Bacteria
Description: partial 16S ribosomal RNA
Rfam family: Bacterial small subunit ribosomal RNA
Source: RNAcentral